GCAUUAAUGGGGUAGUGGUAACCUGGGUCGUUGCCAUUCGAGUGUCUAGCUCGACCCGCCGGGGGUUCGAUUCCCCCUUAAUGCA
Molecule: transfer RNA, 85 nt
Filed under: Agrocybe pediades
Lineage: Eukaryota; Fungi; Basidiomycota; Agaricomycetes; Agaricales; Agrocybaceae
Rfam family: tRNA
About the family: Transfer RNA (tRNA) molecules are approximately 80 nucleotides in length. Their secondary structure includes four short double-helical elements and three loops (D, anti-codon, and T loops).
Source: Rfam by way of RNAcentral